This 497-nucleotide ribosomal RNA is filed under the name uncultured bacterium. RNAcentral describes it as "partial 16S ribosomal RNA". It matches the Rfam family "Bacterial small subunit ribosomal RNA", at positions 28 to 507 of the family's 1533-position model. The record is from RNAcentral.
GAUGAACGCUGGCGGCGUGCCUAAUACAUGCAAGUCGAGCGAACAGACGAGGAGCUUACUCCUCUGACGUUAGCGGCGGACGGGUGAGUAACACGUGGAUAACCUACCUAUAAGACUGGGAUAACUUCGGGGAACCGGAGCUAAUACCGGAUAACAUGUUGAACCGCAUGGUUCAACAGUGAAAGACGGUCUUGCUGUCACUUAUAGAUGGAUCCGCGUCGCAUUAGCUAGUUGGUAAGGUAACGGCUUACCAAGGCAACGAUGCGUAGCCGACCUGAGAGGGUGAUCGGCCACACUGGAACUGAGACACGGUCCAGACUCCUACGGGAGGCAGCAGUAGGGAAUCUUCCGCAAUGGGCGAAAGCCUGACGGAGCAACGCCGCGUGAGUGAAGAAGGUCUUCGGAUCGUAAAACUCUGUUAUUAGGGAAGAACAAAUGUGUAAGUAACUAUGCACGUCUUGACGGUACCUAAUCAGAAAGCCACGGCUAACUACGUG